AAGAGUCCCCUCUUCAGUUGUGAUCUUGCUUAAUGAGUAUUAACCUGUUUUAUCUCCCCUGAAAGAUUGUGAGUUUUCUGAUACAAGGUGUGAUGGACUAUAUUAGAUAUAGCAUAAUAGCUAUACUAGGUGAGGUCUCUAAGGAGGUGACAGUUGUUGAGGGACCAAUUAGGCAAAGAGCUGGUCAGAGGGGACGGCAUAGCUCCAAAGCAGAAAAGAGUUUGGUGGAGUUCCCAUCGUGGCGCAGUGGUUAACGAAUCCGACUAGGAACCAUGAGGUUGCGGGUUCGAUCCCUGGCCUUGCUCAGUGGGUUAGGGAUCCGGCGUUGCCGUGAGCUGUGGUGGGGGUCACAGACGCAGCUCGGAUCCCGCGUUGCUGUGGCUCUGGCGUAGGCCAGUGGCUACAGCUCCGAUUGGACCCCUAGCCUGGGAACCUCCAUAUGCCGCGGGAGCGGCCCAAGAAAUAGCAAAAAAAAAAAAAAAAAAAGACACUGCGCCAUUUGAGGGACAGGAAGGAUGAGCAAGAAAAAGAUGGAGAGACAUGAGAACAGAGUGGUCAUCAGGGUAGAUCAUAUCCCUUGUAGUUUGUAGUGUAUGGUAUGGAUUUUGAUCCUUUUUUUUUUUGGCGUUUUAGGGCCACGCCUAAGGCAUAUGGAAGUUCCCAGGCUAGGGGUUGCACUGGAGCUACAGCUGUUGGCCUACACCACAGCCACAGCAACUCAGGAUCUGAGUUGCGACAUCUGCAACCUUCACCACAGCUCACAGCAAUGCCAGAUCCUCGACCCACUGAGUGAGGACAGGGAUCGGAACCUGCAUCCUCAUGGAUACUAGUUGGAUUCGUUUCCACUGCGCCACCAUGGGAACUCCCGGUCUUUAUUCUUUUUUAAAAAAAAUAUUUAUUAAAUUUUUUUAUCUUUUUGGCCAUGCCCAUGGCAUGUGGAAGUUCCAGGGCCAGGGAUUGAACGUGAGUCCCAGCAGUGACUCAAGCCACUGCAGUGACAACACCAGAUCAUUAACACACUGCACCACAAGAGAACUCCUUGACCUUUAUUCUUAAUGCAUUUUAAAGCCCUUAAAGGAUGGCAAGCAAAAUAAUCCAUCCUGUAAUAUGACUUAAUAUUUUUUUCUUUUUUUUUUUUUUUUGAUGUCCUGGGGCGUAUGGAGUUCCUGGGCCAGGGAUGGACUCUGAGCUGGAGUUGUGACCUACGCCACAGGUGCGGCAAAAUGCCAGAGCCUUAACCUCCUGCACUGGGCCAGGGAUCAAACCCGCCUCCUCCCUGUUGCUGCAGAGACACUGUUGAUCUCGUGCCACAGCCGGAACUCCUGAUUUAAUUUUUUUAAUUAUCUCUGCUUGUGAAGAACGAUUGUAGGGAGGCAAAAGAGGAAACAGAGAUCAGAUAAGAGGCUGUUGUGGCAAUCCGAGCGACAGGUAAACCCAGGUGAUUUAGCUGGGUUGUGGGGGCAGUGAAAAAUGGACAGAAAUGGUGACUUUGAUGUGUAUUUUGGUGGUAGAUGUAUUGGAUAUGGAUGUGAGGGAAAGGGAAGAAUCAAGGAUAAGAACUAGAUUUUUGGCCCACGUAACUGGGUGGACGCUAGACUCCAUCCCUUUAGAAUAUAUCCAGAAUCUGGUCAUAUCUCACUGGCUCCUCCACUCUGUCCUGAUCCAAGUCCCCUGGAAUCAUUGCCUCUCACUUGCACUACUGCAACAGUUCCCUAAUGAGUCUCCCAGCUUUCGUCUUUACCGCCCCUCCUCCAAUUUCUUCACAGCAGCCAGAAUAUUCACACCAAAGUGGAAAUCUCCUCGUGUCAAGCCUCUGUUCAAAAUCCUCCAUCAUUCUUGGAAUAAAAGGUCAUGGUCAGCCCGUUGCCCCUCUGACCUCAUCUCUUGCUCCUCUCACUUGCUGUUUUAACAACUUCAGUCCCCAUCCCCUGUAUUCUCUCUCCCUUCCCUGCUUUGUCUCCUUAGCCCUUAUUAUUGCUUAAUGCAUGACAUAAUUUACUUUUUUUUUCUUCUAUUUAUUAUAUGUCCCCCAGCAGAAGAAUGGAGGCUCUGUGCAGGCAGGGGGUUUUGUCUGUUUUGUUCACUGUUACAGUAGGUGCUCAGUAAAUAUUUGUUUACUAUGUGUGUUAAAUAAACUUAUGGGAAGGGGAAGUCUGUGGGAGGAGCAGGUUAGUAUAGGGGUGGAAACGGAGAAUUUUGUUUAGACAUGUUAAGUUUGAGGUAUCUUGGCAGAUGUUGAGUAGAGAGGUGGGCCCACCGAUCCAGUUAGGAAGGAGGCCUGGGCUAGAGAUACCUAUCAGAGAAUCAGUAUCAUGAAGAUAAUGGCAAUGCCUAGGGAGGGAGUGUAGAUAGAGAAUAAAGAAGGUUCAAGACCUGUGUCUGGGUAGGGUAAGGUAGAGGAGGAGCCAGCAAAGGAAUAAAAAGAAGAGUGUGCUGGAGUUCCUGUCAUGGUGCAGUGGAAAUGAAUCCGACUAGGAACCAUGAGGUUGCAGGUUUGAUCCCUGGCCUCGCUCAGUAGGUUAGGGAUCCGGCAUUGCCAGGAGCUGUGGUGUAGGUCGCAGAUGCGGCUUGGAUCUGGCAUUGCUGUGGCUCUGGUGUAGGCCGGCAGCUAUAGCUCUGAUUCGACCCCUAGCCUGGGAACCUCCAUAUGCCGUGGGUGUGGCCCUAAAAAGACCAAAAGGGGGGGGGGAAUAGGAGGAGUGAAGAGUGUGGAUAAGAAGAAAAGUUAGCAAGUGGCACCAAUCACCCAACCUCCAGUUGACUGUCCCUGGCUCAGAGUAAUCUUUCAUAGUGCAGCACCCUUCCCCUGGGAGAGAUGUGGCUUGUUGCGGGGGCCACAAUCACGGUUUCUCCUAGAUCUUUGUUCAGGGGCCCAAACUCCUUCUUUUGGGGGAUUAGGAAAUGAUGGUUAAGAAUACAGACCCUGGGAGUUCCUGUUGUGGCUCAGCGGCUUAACAAACCCAACUAGUAUCCAUGAGGAUGCAGGUUUGAUCCCUGGCCUUGCUCAGUGGGUUAAGGAUCUGGCAUUGCCAUGAGCUAUGGUGUAGGUCACAGAUUUGGUUCGGAUCCUCAAGUAUUUUUAAAAUGUUAGCUGUUGGACCGCUGCCACGCCACCAUCAUGGACACAAGCCUUGUGCAGCCCAUCCAGCUUGCCAGGGUUACCAAGGUUCUGGGCAGGACAGGUUCGCAGGGACAGUGCACACAGGUGUGCAUAGAAUUCAGGGGUGACACGAGCCAUUACAUCAUCCGAAACAUGAAAGACCCCGGUCGCCAGGGCGGUGUGCUCACCCUUUUGGAGUCAGAGUGAGAGCCUUUGCGGAACUUGUGGCUCGGUCCUGGAUGUCUGGGUCGACCACCUGGCCCACCAUGAUCUGCUGUUAAUAAAGCGUUUAUAUUGUAU
Molecule: long non-coding RNA, 3400 nt
Filed under: Sus scrofa (pig)
Lineage: Eukaryota; Metazoa; Chordata; Mammalia; Artiodactyla; Suidae
Description: lncRNA (ENSSSCG00030053515.1)
Source: RNAcentral